This 118-nucleotide ribosomal RNA is filed under the name Pteropus alecto (black flying fox). The record is from RNAcentral. Lineage: Eukaryota; Metazoa; Chordata; Mammalia; Chiroptera; Pteropodidae.
GUCUACGGCCAUGUCACUCUGAAUAAGCCCAAUCCCGUCUGAUCUCGGAAGCUAAGUAGGGUCGGGCCUGUUUAGACUUGAAUGGGAGACCACCUAGGAAGACCAGGUGCUGUAGGCG